UGUAUCUGAAGCCUGACGAGGAUGAGAACCUCCGGGGGCAAGAGGUUCGACUCGAGCGAAGCGAGAGAACGUUGCGCCAGCAACGGCCCGCAGGGCGAGCCACGCAGUGGCGAGUCAUCCUCUAUCACCGACCA
RNAcentral lists this small RNA (134 nucleotides) under Salmonella enterica. RNAcentral describes it as "RtT sRNA". It matches the Rfam family "RtT RNA". From Rfam's summary of the family: This family represents a bacterial cis-regulatory element known as RtT RNA. The exact function of RtT is unknown although it is thought that it may be involved in changing the cellular response in relation to amino acid starvation. The record is from RNAcentral. RNAcentral also lists the same sequence under 7 other names. Lineage: Bacteria; Pseudomonadati; Pseudomonadota; Gammaproteobacteria; Enterobacterales; Enterobacteriaceae.